Molecule: long non-coding RNA, 335 nt
Organism: Trichomycterus rosablanca
Lineage: Eukaryota; Metazoa; Chordata; Actinopteri; Siluriformes; Trichomycteridae
Exons: 3
Source: RefSeq, a predicted model, not a curated record
AAUGAAUGAAACAUGAGGCCACAGCUCCACCGUGAGUCUGAAUCAGCAGUUUAGGGAAGGCCCUUUCCUGUUCCAGCAUGAGCAAGCUCAUACCUUGUAUCCGAUGGUCUUUCUGUAGUGCAGGAUCUCCAUCUCCAGCAGCUCGAACAGACGUGGUGGGAAAAACUGGAAAUCCUGAAUGUUGGGCUGCUUAGGGGGUCGAGGAGCCUGAAGAGCAAACACACACACACACAGAGCAUUGAGUAAAUGCAGGAUGGAGUCGAUGUCCUCGUCGGUCAGCUCACUGUCCUUAGAGGCGAAGACGUGCGUCGCGCCGUGUCUGAUCAUCUGCAGCA